Molecule: ribosomal RNA, 466 nt
Filed under: uncultured bacterium
Lineage: Bacteria
Description: partial 16S ribosomal RNA
Rfam family: Bacterial small subunit ribosomal RNA
Source: RNAcentral
GACGAACGCUGGCGGCGUGCUUAACACAUGCAAGUCGAACGGAAAGGCCCUGCUUGCAGGGUACUCGAGUGGCGAACGGGUGAGUAACACGUGGGUGAUCUGCCCUGCACUUCGGGAUAAGCCUGGGAAACUGGGUCUAAUACCGGAUAGGAGCCAUUUUUAGUGUGAUGGUUGGAAAGUUUUUUUCGGUGUAGGAUGAGCUCGCGGCCUAUCAGCUUGUUGGUGGGGUAAUGGCCUACCAAGGCGGCGACGGGUAGCCGGCCUGAGAGGGUGGACGGCCACAUUGGGACUGAGAGACGGCCCAGACUCCGACGGGAGGCAGCAGUGGGGAAUAUUGCACAAUGGGCGCAAGCCUGAUGCAGAGACGCCGCGGGGGGGAUGACGGCCUUCGGGUUGUAAACUCAUUUCGCUAGGGACGAAGCUUUUUGUGACGGUACCUAGAUAAGAAGCACCGGCUAACUACGUG